RNAcentral lists this ribosomal RNA (253 nucleotides) under uncultured bacterium. RNAcentral describes it as "partial 16S ribosomal RNA". It matches the Rfam family "Bacterial small subunit ribosomal RNA", at positions 524 to 776 of the family's 1533-position model. The record is from RNAcentral.
UACGUAGGGAGCAAGCGUUGUCCGGAAUCAUUGGGCGUAAAGCGCGCGUAGGUGGCUUCGUAAGUCCGUUGUGAAAGUCAAAGGCUCAACCUUUGAAAGCCGGUGGAUACUGUCGGGCUAGAGUGCGGAAGAGGCGAGUGGGAUUCCUGGUGUAGCGGUGAAAUGCGCAGAUAUCAGGAGGAACACCGGUGGCGAAGGCGGUUCUCUGGGCAUUACCUGACGCUGAGGAGCGAAAGUGUGGGGAGCGAACAGG